RNAcentral lists this ribosomal RNA (898 nucleotides) under uncultured Bacteroidota bacterium. RNAcentral's name for it is "bacterial SSU rRNA". It matches the Rfam family "Bacterial small subunit ribosomal RNA", at positions 1 to 890 of the family's 1533-position model. Lineage: Bacteria; Pseudomonadati; Bacteroidota. The record is from RNAcentral.
GGAUCCAGACUUUGAUUAUGGCUCAGGAUGAACGCUAGCUACAGGCUUAGCACAUGCAAGUCGAGGGGAAACGACAUCGAAAGCUUGCUUUUGAUGGGCGUCGACCGGCGCACGGGUGAGUAACGCGUAUCCAACCUGCCCACCACUUGGGGAUAACCUUGCGAAAGUAAGACUAAUACCCAAUGAUAUCUCUAGAAGACAUCUGGAAGAGAUUAAAGAUUUAUCGGUGAUGGAUGGGGAUGCGUCUGAUUAGCUUGUUGGCGGGGUAACGGCCCACCAAGGCGACGAUCAGUAGGGGUUCUGAGAGGAAGGUCCCCCACAUUGGAACUGAGACACGGUCCAAACUCCUACGGGAGGCAGCAGUGAGGAAUAUUGGUCAAUGGGCGAGAGCCUGAACCAGCCAAGUAGCGUGCAGGAUGACGGCCCUAUGGGUUGUAAACUGCUUUUAUAAGGGAAUAAAGUGAGUCUCGUGAGACUUUUUGCAUGUACCUUAUGAAUAAGGACCGGCUAAUUCCGUGCCAGCAGCCGCGGUAAUACGGAAGGUCCGGGCGUUAUCCGGAUUUAUUGGGUUUAAAGGGAGCGUAGGCCGGAGAUUAAGCGUGUUGUGAAAUGUAGACGCUCAACGUCUGCACUGCAGCGCGAACUGGUUUCCUUGAGUACGCACAAAGUGGGCGGAAUUCGUGGUGUAGCGGUGAAAUGCUUAGAUAUCACGAAGAACUCCGAUUGCGAAGGCAGCUCACUGGAGCGCAACUGACGCUGAAGCUCGAAAGUGCGGGUAUCGAACAGGAUUAGAUACCCUGGUAGUCCGCACGGUAAACGAUGGAUGCCCGCUGUUGGUCUGAAUAGGUCAGCGGCCAAGCGAAAGCAUUAAGCAUCCCACCUGGGGAGUACGCCGGCA